RNAcentral lists this ribosomal RNA (425 nucleotides) under uncultured cyanobacterium. Its description in RNAcentral is "bacterial SSU rRNA". It matches the Rfam family "Bacterial small subunit ribosomal RNA", at positions 356 to 795 of the family's 1533-position model. Lineage: Bacteria; Bacillati; Cyanobacteriota. The record is from RNAcentral.
GGGGAAUUUUCCGCAAUGGGCGAAAGCCUGACGGAGCAAUACCGCGUGAGGGAGGAAGGCUCUUGGGUCGUAAACCUCUUUUCUCAGGGAAGAACACAAUGACGGUACCUGAGGAAUAAGCAUCGGCUAACUCCGUGCCAGCAGCCGCGGUAAUACGGAGGAUGCAAGCGUUAUCCGGAAUGAUUGGGCGUAAAGCGUCCGCAGGUGGCGAUGUAAGUCUGCUGUUAAAGAGUCUAGCUCAACUAGAUAAGAGCAGUGGAAACUACAUAGCUAGAGUACGUUCGGGGCAGAGGGAAUUCCUGGUGUAGCGGUGAAAUGCGUAGAGAUCAGGAAGAACACCGGUGGCGAAGGCGCUCUGCUAGGCCGUAACUGACACUGAGGGACGAAAGCUAGGGGAGCGAAUGGGAUUAGAUACCCCAGUAGUC